AUCAACUUUCGAUGGUAGGAUAGAGGCCUACCAUGGUGGUAACGGGUAACGGGGUGUUAGGGCACGACACCGGAGAGGGAGCCUGAGAAACGGCUACCACAUCCAAGGAUGGCAGCAGGCGCGCAAAUUACCCAAUCCCGACACGGGGAGGUAGUGACAAUAAAUAACAAUACGGGGUUCUUUCGGAUCUCGUAAUUGGAAUGAGUACAAUUUAAAUCUCUUAACGAGGAACAAUUGGAGGGCAAGUCUGGUGCCAGCAGCCGCGGUAAUUCCAGCUCCAAUAGCGUAUAUUAAAGUUGUUGCAGUUAAAAAGCUCGUAGUUGAAUUUCGGGGUCAGUAGGUUGGUCGUGCCACCGGUACGUACUGGUCUCACUGAUUCCUCCUUCCUGAUGAGCUGUAAUGUCAUUAAUUUGGUGUCGUGGGGAAUCAGGACUGUUACUUUGAAAAAAUUAGAGUGUUUAAAGCAGGCGCACGCUUGAAUACAUUAGCAUGGAAUAAUGAAAUAGGACAUCCGAUUCUAUUUUGUUGGUUUCUAGGAUCGAUGUAAUGAUUAAUAGGGAUAGUUGGGGGCAUUAGUAUUCAAUUGUCAGAGGUGAAAUUCUUGGAUUUAUUGAAGACUAACUACUGCGAAAGCAUUUGCCAAGGAUGUUUUCAUUAAUCAAGAACGAAAGUUAGGGGAUCGAAGACGAUCAGAUACCGUCGUAGUCUUAACCAUAAACUAUGCCGACUAGGGAUCGGAUGAUGUUGAUUUUAUAAUGACUCAUUCGGCGCCUUACGGGAAACCAAAGUGUUUGGGUUC
This 799-nucleotide ribosomal RNA is filed under the name uncultured Glomus. RNAcentral describes it as "SSU rRNA". It matches the Rfam family "Eukaryotic small subunit ribosomal RNA", at positions 314 to 1114 of the family's 1831-position model. The record is from RNAcentral. Lineage: Eukaryota; Fungi; Glomeromycota; Glomeromycetes; Glomerales; Glomeraceae.